UGGGAAGCUCCAAAAAGUGCCCUAGUGAC
Molecule: non-coding RNA, 29 nt
Filed under: Homo sapiens (human)
Lineage: Eukaryota; Metazoa; Chordata; Mammalia; Primates; Hominidae
Source: RNAcentral